This 1182-nucleotide ribosomal RNA is filed under the name Marinobacter litoralis. RNAcentral's name for it is "bacterial SSU rRNA". It matches the Rfam family "Bacterial small subunit ribosomal RNA", at positions 37 to 1219 of the family's 1533-position model. Lineage: Bacteria; Pseudomonadati; Pseudomonadota; Gammaproteobacteria; Pseudomonadales; Marinobacteraceae. The record is from RNAcentral.
GGGCGGCAGCUUACACAUGCAGUCGAGCGGAAACGAUGAUAGCUUGCUAUCAGGCGUCGAGCGGCGGACGGGUGAGUAAUGCUUAGGAAUCUGCCCAGUAGUGGGGGACAACAGUCGGAAACGGCUGCUAAUACCGCAUACGCCCUACGGGGGAAAGCAGGGGAUCUUCGGACCUUGCGCUAUUGGAUGAGCCUAAGUCGGAUUAGCUAGUUGGUGAGGUAAAGGCUCACCAAGGCGACGAUCCGUAGCUGGUUUGAGAGGAUGAUCAGCCACAUCGGGACUGAGACACGGCCCGAACUCCUACGGGAGGCAGCAGUGGGGAAUAUUGGACAAUGGGGGCAACCCUGAUCCAGCCAUGCCGCGUGUGUGAAGAAGGCUUUCGGGUUGUAAAGCACUUUCAGCGAGGAGGAAGGCUCUAAAGCUAAUACCUUUAGGGAUUGACGUUACUCGCAGAAGAAGCACCGGCUAACUCCGUGCCAGCAGCCGCGGUAAUACGGAGGGUGCAAGCGUUAAUCGGAAUUACUGGGCGUAAAGCGCGCGUAGGUGGUUGAGUAAGCGAGAUGUGAAAGCCCCGGGCUUAACCUGGGAACGGCAUUUCGAACUGCUCGGCUAGAGUGUGGUAGAGGGUAGUGGAAUUUCCUGUGUAGCGGUGAAAUGCGUAGAUAUAGGAAGGAACACCAGUGGCGAAGGCGGCUACCUGGACCAACACUGACACUGAGGUGCGAAAGCGUGGGGAGCAAACAGGAUUAGAUACCCUGGUAGUCCACGCCGUAAACGAUGUCAACUAGCCGUUGGGGAUCUUGAAUCCUUAGUGGCGCAGCUAACGCACUAAGUUGACCGCCUGGGGAGUACGGCCGCAAGGUUAAAACUCAAAUGAAUUGACGGGGGCCCGCACAAGCGGUGGAGCAUGUGGUUUAAUUCGACGCAACGCGAAGAACCUUACCUGGCCUUGACAUGCAGAGAACUUUCCAGAGAUGGAUUGGUGCCUUCGGGAACUCUGACACAGGUGCUGCAUGGCCGUCGUCAGCUCGUGUCGUGAGAUGUUGGGUUAAAUCCCGUAACCAACGCCACCCCUAUCCUUGGUUGCUAACAGGUAAUGCUGAAAACUCCGGGAAACUGCCGGUGACAACCGGAAGAAGGUGGGAUGACUUCGGUCUUCUUGCCCUUACGGCAGGGCUACCC